RNAcentral lists this long non-coding RNA (223 nucleotides) under Mytilus galloprovincialis (Mediterranean mussel). The record is from RNAcentral. Lineage: Eukaryota; Metazoa; Mollusca; Bivalvia; Mytilida; Mytilidae.
ACUUGACACCCACUCAAAGAUGAGAUUUGAAAGUACCUUUCCUGGGUCCCAUGUAUGAUCCAUUUGAACAUCUUUAAGUAUGGUCCUGAGAAAUGAUGAUAGUCCGUCGGAAGGGGGCGAUUAUUGGGGACCCAUGUUAAGAGAGAACCAUUUCUCUUGCACGUAAAAGACACCAUUGAAGAUUUCGAGCAGGCUGAUGCCACUACAAGGCAGCACUCCCACC